ACGGGAGGCAGCAGUGGGGAAUAUUGCACAAUGGGCGCAAGCCUGAUGCAGCCAUGCCGCGUGUGUGAAGAAGGCCUUCGGGUUGUAAAGCACUUUCAGUCGUGAGGAAGGUAGUGUAGUUAAUAGCUGCAUUAUUUGACGUUAGCGACAGAAGAAGCACCGGCUAACUCCGUGCCAGCAGCCGCGGUAAUACGGAGGGUGCGAGCGUUAAUCGGAAUUACUGGGCGUAAAGCGCAUGCAGGUGGUUUGUUAAGUCAGAUGUGAAAGCCCGGGGCUCAACCUCGGAAUAGCAUUUGAAACUGGCAGACUAGAGUACUGUAGAGGGGGGUAGAAUUUCAGGUGUAGCGGUGAAAUGCGUAGAGAUCUGAAGGAAUACCGGUGGCGAAGGCGGCCCCCUGGACAGAUACUGACACUCAGAUGCGAAAGCGUGGGGAGCAAACAGGAUUAGAUACCCUGGUAGUCCACGCCGUAAACGAUGUCUACUUGGAGGUUGUGGCCUUGAGCCGUGGCUUUCGGAGCUAACGCGUUAAGUAGACCGCCUGGGGAGUACGGUCGCAAGAUUAAAACUCAAAUGAAUUGACGGGGGCCCGCACAAGCGGUGGAGCAUGUGGUUUAAUUCGAUGCAACGCGAAGAACCUUACCUACUCUUGACAUCCAGAGAACUUUCCAGAGAUGGAUUGGUGCCUUCGGGAACUCUGAGACAGGUGCUGCAUGGCUGUCGUCAGCUCGUGUUGUGAAAUGUUGGGUUAAGUCCCGCAACGAGCGCAACCCUUAUCCUUGUUUGCCAGCGAGUAAUGUCGGGAACUCCAGGGAGACUGCCGGUGAUAAACCGGAGGAAGGUGGGGACGACGUCAAGUCAUCAUGGCCCUUACGAGUAGGGCUACACACGUGCUACAAUGGCGCAUACAGAGGGCGGCCAACUUGCGAAAGUGAGCGAAUCCCAAAAAGUGCGUCGUAGUCCGGAUUGGAGUCUGCAACUCGACUCCAUGAAGUCGGAAUCGCUAGUAAUCGUGGAUCAGAAUGCCACGGUGAAUACGUUCCCGGGCCUUGUACACACCGCCCGUCACACCAUGGGAGUGGGCUGCAAAAGAAGUAGGUAGUUAACCUUCGGGGGGACGCU
This 1120-nucleotide ribosomal RNA is filed under the name Vibrio alginolyticus. Its description in RNAcentral is "bacterial SSU rRNA". It matches the Rfam family "Bacterial small subunit ribosomal RNA", at positions 341 to 1454 of the family's 1533-position model. The record is from RNAcentral. Lineage: Bacteria; Pseudomonadati; Pseudomonadota; Gammaproteobacteria; Vibrionales; Vibrionaceae.